AAUGGGCGCAAGCCUGAUCCAGCCACGCCGCGUGAGUGAUGAAGGCCUUCGGGUCGUAAAGCUCUGUGGGGAGGGACGAACGGCGCCAUGAAGAGUGGCGAUUGACGGUACCUCCUUAGCAAGCACCGGCUAACUUCGUGCCAGCAGCCGCGGUAAUACGAAGGGUGCAAACGUUGCUCGGAAUCAUGGGGCGUAAAGCGCACGUAGGCGGCUUCAUAAGUCGGAUGUGAAAUCCCUCGGCUUAACCGAGGACGUGCAUCGGAAACUGUGAGGCUUGAGUAUGGAAGAGGGUCGCAGAAUUCCCGGUGUAGAGGUGAAAUUCGUAGAUAUCGGGAGGAAUACCAGUGGCGAAGGCGGCGACCUGGGCCAAUACUGACGCUGAGGUGCGAAAGCGUGGGGAGCAAA
RNAcentral lists this ribosomal RNA (405 nucleotides) under uncultured bacterium. RNAcentral describes it as "bacterial SSU rRNA". It matches the Rfam family "Bacterial small subunit ribosomal RNA", at positions 370 to 772 of the family's 1533-position model. The record is from RNAcentral.